This is a long non-coding RNA of Pezoporus occidentalis (night parrot), 1385 nucleotides long. RefSeq lists it as uncharacterized. The transcript has 3 exons. NCBI's taxonomy places the organism in Eukaryota, Metazoa, Chordata, Aves, Psittaciformes, Psittacidae. The record is from RefSeq and is a predicted model, not a curated record.
AUUGGAAUUGCCAAAAAGUGAAACAAGGGACAUUUCUGAGAGCAGAGUUAAGCAUACACUAGGAAGUUUGAAGCUAACUAUGGCUCAAAGAGGACAAGACAGAAAAAAAAGAGUAUCCACAGUGUGAUCACACAGGAGCACACAUCCUCAGCUGUAAGCAUGUGAAUUAUUUUAUUACUACAUUAAUGAAUUGGAAAACAUUUAUUGCUUUCAAUAUUGUCAGUUGUGAUAAUAGCAAGGUGUACUUAAGCAUGCUUGCUUGUAUUUAACUUCAAUCUACAGAAACCAGGACACCUGGAAAAAGGAAGCAGGGCCUGCUGUGGGCAAGCAAGGUAUUGAAAGGAGACAAAAGCAGAGGCUACUUUGAGCAUUUCUAACCAACCAAAUACAACGGGGCGGGGAAGAGUUAGAAAGACACCCACUUGUCUGUGUGGGUGUAUUUGUGUCCAAAAUGGGACAGGGAGACCCUGAUGGUCACUUCCUGUUUUGCAGGGAAGGACAGCUUCUAUCCCAACUACAAAUUCAAUUUCCAUUAUAUUUCAAAAUUAGAGCCAUUAAUCAGGGCUCCAUAAACAAUGGUAUUGACUACUCAGUAGCAAACAUGCAAUUCCUUUGAAAAGUUAGGGAGGGAAGAUUAACAACUAUUUCCUACAUAAGCUACUUCAAGAAGGAAGCAUAAGCAGAAUAACUGAAAUAGCCAGCUGAGCAUUUACCUUAUAUCAAUACAUAUUAUAAAAGCAUGAUUAUGCAAAAGUUCAUAUUUUCAGAUAAGAAUGGAAGCAGCCUUACAUGCUGAUUCUCCCUACAUUGCUAGAGAUAAAAAGAACUUUCGGAUGUACAGUACAGUGCAGCAUUCACUGUCCUGUUAUCCCUGUAGUGGGCUGCAAACAGACUACUUCUAAAGCUCUCCCACGUAGGAAGAUUGUCCCUGAAACAGAAUGACAUGUGGUUCAUAACCUCUUUUGCAUUGAAUCCUCAUAUUACCAGUGGUGUUAUUUUAGCAACAUGGCAGUGUAUACUGUGUGUGUACAUUACAGAAAUGUUCAUUCUGUUAUUAUAAAAUGUUUCAAUGGUGUAAUUUACUUUUCAUAUAUUAAAUUCUAGAAUGCAGGUUGGAGGAAUGUGGGGGGGGGGGGUUGCCUUUAAAGAGGCAACUGCUUCACUGCAAAGGAAUAAAGAUUGUGUAUGUCACUAAUUUAGGAUGAACUUGCACAACUGAGUAGGAUGGGUUUCCUUUUAGUCACAUAAUAAGGGUUAUUUUCCAGAGUAUUGUGGAUAUGUUUGAGAGUUAAAGCUAUUUUGUAUGUAUGCUAUCAGAAAUAUGAUUUAGUAAUUCCAAUUACACCCUAUAAUGAUAUAUUAGCCACAAUAAACAUCAAAAUGAU